This 253-nucleotide ribosomal RNA is filed under the name uncultured bacterium. RNAcentral describes it as "partial 16S ribosomal RNA". It matches the Rfam family "Bacterial small subunit ribosomal RNA", at positions 524 to 776 of the family's 1533-position model. The record is from RNAcentral.
UACGUAGGGCGCAAGCGUUGUCCGGAAUUAUUGGGCGUAAAGAGCUCGUAGGCGGCUUGUUGCGUCGGCUGUGAAAUCCCGAGGCUCAACCUCGGGUCUGCAGUCGAUACGAGCAUACUAGAGUGUUGCAGGGGAGACUGGAAUUCCUGGUGUAGCGGUGAAAUGCGCAGAUAUCAGGAGGAACACCGGUGGCGAAGGCGGGUCUCUGGGCAACAACUGACGCUGAGGAGCGAAAGCGUGGGGAGCGAACAGG